GACGGAGGAUGCAAGCGUUAUCCGGAAUGAUUGGGCGUAAAGCGUUCGCAGGUGGCUGUUCAAGUCGGCUGUCAAAGACUGGGGCUUAACCCCGGAAAGGCAGUGGAAACUGAACGGCUAGAGUGCAGUAUGGGUAGAGGGAAUUCCCAGUGUAGCGGUGAAAUGCGUAGAGAUUGGGAAGAACACCGGUGGCGAAAGCGCUCUGCUGGACUGCAACUGACACUGAGGGACGAAAGCUAGGGGAGCGAAAGGG
This 253-nucleotide ribosomal RNA is filed under the name uncultured bacterium. RNAcentral's name for it is "partial 16S ribosomal RNA". It matches the Rfam family "Bacterial small subunit ribosomal RNA", at positions 524 to 776 of the family's 1533-position model. The record is from RNAcentral.